UACAGAGGUCUCGAGCGUUGUUCGGAUUCAUUGGGCGUAAAGGGUGCGUAGGUGGCGCUGUAAGUCGGGUGUGAAAUCCUGAGGCUUAACCUCGGAACUGCAUUCGAUACUGCGGCGCUUGAGGACUGGAGAGGAGACUGGAAUUCAUGGUGUAGCAGUGAAAUGCGUAGAGAUCGGGAGGAACACCCGUGGCGAAGGCGGCCAUCUGGACCAGCACUGACGCUGAGGCACGAAAGCGUGGGGAGCAAACAGG
This 253-nucleotide ribosomal RNA is filed under the name uncultured bacterium. RNAcentral describes it as "partial 16S ribosomal RNA". It matches the Rfam family "Bacterial small subunit ribosomal RNA", at positions 524 to 776 of the family's 1533-position model. The record is from RNAcentral.